AAGACUAUCCUUUCAGGGGUCAUUUCUAUAAUUUGUUACUAGUCUAAUGACCUCUCAGAAUUUACCUUGCUGAAUACAAUGACCAGCACUUAGCAGG
Molecule: small nucleolar RNA, 97 nt
Filed under: Erinaceus europaeus (western European hedgehog)
Lineage: Eukaryota; Metazoa; Chordata; Mammalia; Eulipotyphla; Erinaceidae
Description: Small nucleolar RNA U3 (ENSEEUG00000023263.1)
Source: RNAcentral